This 492-nucleotide ribosomal RNA is filed under the name uncultured bacterium. RNAcentral's name for it is "partial 16S ribosomal RNA". It matches the Rfam family "Bacterial small subunit ribosomal RNA", at positions 28 to 507 of the family's 1533-position model. The record is from RNAcentral.
GAUGAACGCUGGCGGCGUGCCUAACACAUGCAAGUCGAACGGCCGGACAGUAAGAUUUUGUUCUUAAGGUUGGCGGGUGGCGGGCGGGUGACGCGUGGAUAAGCAACUUAUUUUUCGGGGAGGAUAACGGAAAGCAGGUUACGAUAAUAGAGAAUAUGUUGUACCGGUGGGAGCAAAGGAUAUUGGCGCCUUUCGUGAUUGAAUUAGACGGUGUCGGGUUAGCUAGUUGGGAGGGUAACGGCCCACCAAGGCAACGAUACGUAGCUGGCCUGAGAGGAUGAUCAGCCACACUGGAACUGAGACACGGUCCAGACUCCUACGGGAGGCAGCAGUGGGGAAUAUUGGACAAUGGGCGCAAGCCUGAUGCAGCAACGCCGCGUGGGUGAUGAAGGUCUUCGGAUUGUAAAACCCUGUUGUUAGGGAAGAAAAGCUGUGUAAUUAACUGCGGAUGUUCUGACGGUACCUAAUGAAAAAGCACCGGCUAACUUCGUG